UCCCGGCGGGCCUGGGGAGCACGCCGGGGGAAGCUGCAAAUGAGCGGCAGGGUUUGCUAUCACCGACACCCCUGGGCGCGCCUCUCUCCAGGGAAAGGAUGGCUUCUCUUCCUUUUCCCACGUAGGGAGGGAGACACGUUUUCCAGGUGCUGUGCGAGUUUUGCCCGGUCUUUCAGAGCAGGGAGGGGAAAGCUGGUGGUCUCCCGUCUGGAGCAUCCCAGGUAUGAGACCAGGAAGAGAUGUGCUUCCUAAGAAAAAGUGACUGGAUUUGUUCUGGGCUUCCUGUGGGAUUCUGGGGGAAAAAUGAAAAGGCUUUGCUGCUUUAUGAGGCUCGGUGAAAUGGUGCUUUACCAACUUCUCUUCUGGUGGUCUGUGGUGUUUCUGUGUUCUGUCAAGCCAGGGAGUCAGCAUCCCAACAGAAGCGAUGCUGCCAAGGACUGGGAAGAAGUUGUCCUGCAAGGAGCCCAGCACCGGGAUGUACAGCUGGGCCAUAGCAACUGGCAUAGGGCUGCACUGCAGCAGUGGAAGUGUCACAGAGGAUGAGAGAAGCCUGAAGUCCUUGUUUAGCACCAGCUGCUGAAACACUGUGCACUGAGAGGGGAACCAUGAGACAUCCCAAUGGGGAGAGUCCCACAUGUCAGGAGGUGUUUGGAGGUGACCCAGGGCAGAAGGCAACCAGGUGGAUUCUGACUCAAGGUUUGAGGGGGAUCUAUGAGUUUCGCUUUCAUUAACCUGUGAAUCCUGCUUACAGCAACAGCACAUUUGAUACUCUUUCUUUCAUUUUUGCCUUCCAUUUGUUUCCUUUCCAGAAUCUCCGUCCAGUUGAAUUCUCUGUCUGGGAACAGUGAACUCAUCCCUCAUCCAGGCAGGCUCAGGUUCUCAUGGUCACUGCCCUAGACUUCCCAAUCACCCUACUGUUCAUAGUGAGUCUCCUGCUGUUACUAAGAGAAAAGGUCAGGGGUAUGAUUUUUGCUCUGCCCUCUCUCAUGGUGAAUGUGUCUUUCUGACUGUAGCACAUGGCAUUACCUUCACUCACCACGGGAAUGUCUGCUCACAUCCAACAUGCCCACAGAUGUCAGGGGGCAGCUUGCCUCAGUGAGACCUCAUGCCAGCAAUACACGUUGUGCCAGCAGCCUCCGUGCACCAACGGGACUCACUCCAUGAGCGUGUGCUCCCCGUGAAGCUUGCCCUGGCCACGCUUACAGUGCUGGCCACCACAGCCAGCCACAUGCUGCUGUCACCUCCCCUGGUGCGUGUCUGCAGGAUCUGCUUAGUGACCUUGCCCAUUUUAUUCCUGACUUUCUUAGAAAUCAGAAUGCCUGUUUUCUCAGACACACUGCCUUGUGCUGGCAUAGCGGUCUUACACACACUGCAGCACUUGUGGGUGCUGUUGGAUAUAGCUCUGUGUCCUCAGCAUGGAGAUGCCUCUCCCUUCCCUCAUCCAUGUUUCUCCUUUGGCAUUUGUCCCUUGAUUCUUUACCCCGAGGAUUUUUGCCCUGAGCUCUUUGCUGGCAGCAAUUCCAGUCCCCUCUGACUAUCUUGCCCAUGGAGAUGGUGACCAGUGAGGCCACAUGGCUGACUGGGUGGUGGAUGUCACAAAUCACAAACGGAUCCACCUCAUUUUCUCCUAAGCCUGAGCCAGUCUCUCAUUUCAGAGAAGUCUGUCCAUUAACUCUCAAGGCUGGAGAGUACAAUUAUGUGUGCUUGUGUAGCUUGGAGCUUUCUAAGCAGCCCAAGUAAGUGGUUUUCACCUUUUCAUCCAGUCACUUCCUGUAAGAAAAGACACAUCCGUUCUCUUUGAGUACAGAUCUCACAAAUGAGUACAAACCUCACACAUGCCAGCGCUGGCUUUCUUCUGCCCUCAUUCCUGGAGGAGAAUCUCCUGGCCUGCACGUACCUUUGGCUCUCCAAAAUCAUAUUUGAAUGAAGAAAAUCUUCCUUCAGCAGAAGGUUUGUGCUUUGCUAACAAAAGGAAAUCCCUGAAUUUGUUGAUGUUCUUGGGAAACUUCUCCAAGUCCUUUUCUCUGGUACUGCAAGGGCAGUGUGGACAGUGCUGACUUCUUUAUGUGAGCCCAGCGUGUCUCAAGCCAUGCUUGAGGCUGCGGGUCGGUAAUGAGGCCAGUCAUUUGUUUGGGCUCCUGUGGAUAAUUCUGUCGAGGCCAAGCACUCUGCCAGUGAGCUUCUUUUAAGGACUGAUUUUCUUUUACACAGUCAGGACUCAGACAGCCUAUUAUUAACCUCAGAGCCUGAUGGCUUGCUUUGCAUUCCCAUUCCAGUCUGUGCUUUCACUGAUUCCAACACACAGCUACUGCACUUCUACACACCCCUGUUCCCUCCCUGCACUUGCUUUGAGCCCUGCCUCACCAGAUCACCUUUGCCAAUGUUGCAUCUCAGUGAAACUUGUCAUGUCCUUCAGCCAUCCACAGAGAAGAAGCUCUGUGAGGACACUGUUGUUUUCAGUCAUCCUGUCCUAAUUACUUGUCCCAGCAAUCCCAUGGAGUAGGGAAACAUGGCCUUGCUCUUCUAGAUGGGCAAAGAGACAUGGCAGCAGCAAGUGGAAAGUCAAUAGCAGGAACAAAACCUGAAUGCAAAGCCCCAGGGUGCCAGGCUUAGGUCAGGACAAAUGCCACCAAUCCUGAAGGAGAACAGCAGGCACAAGUGUGUAUUUUGCCCAUACCCAAGCAGCUGUGUCACCACUGACAGCAGGAAAGGAUGAGAGGGGCUUUGCUAAUAAGGACUCAUAAUGAGGCUGUGCCUGAGCUCAGACCUCCUGCUUAAAAAGUCCCUCGACAUGUGAGGAAGCAAGCAGCAGUGACCAUAGCAGGGCAAACCUCAGAGACCAUGGGAGGUCUGAGGGUGCCAGGCAAAAGAAGGGACAAGCCUGUGCCAGCACAUCUCAGUGGAGAGGUGAAGCAGGCAUCCAAAAAUAGCCCACCCUGCUGCCAAGAGCAGUGAGCCUUUGAUAAACAGUUUAAAAAUAACCUCAGUGGGAAAGACAUUGCAGCUCCCUCCGAACUGCAGAUCAGAACUGAAUUUGUGUCCCGUUUGCGUUUCCAUGUCCCUGCCAGCUUGCUGUGGAGCAUGUUGCUCAUGUGAUACCUGCUGCCUGCAGAUACUGGCCCUGACUGGGAUGUGGGCAGCCAUGAGGGACUGGGAAGAUGCUCAGCUGCAUUUUGCUGCUGCAGCAAGAGUUUGUCCUGGCUGGGAGCAGGAGCAGGGACACAGUCUGAUGGGAACAUGUCUGGUCAGAGCUACAAGGUGCUUUUUGUGUUGCGGCUUCCCACCCUCCUGUUGACAUGAGGGAAUGGCUUUUGUGGGUGUCAGGCAGAGAGGGGAAAGUGCAGGGAUGUCUGCCACAGAAAACUGGAGCCAGAUGAGCCAAGGGCCAGUGUGUCCUGGAGAACCCUUCCUAGGGAAGGGGGGUUUCGGGGACCCUCUGCUUUGUGUGCUCUCACUCUGCACUGGGAUGUGGAGUAGGGACAGAAAGGAGCCCUCCCUAUCACCUCUCCACAUCCCCAGGGUAACAGUGCUGGCCAUGGCCGGGAUGCAGCCCCAUUCCCACCUGGCUGCCCCAGGACAGCACCACCUCUCUCUAGGGCAAUUGGGAUUUUGUGGGCUGAAUUGGAUUUUUGUGGUCUGCUGGUUCUUCAGUGGGGGACCUCAAAGCUCUGGUCACCUGCACAGGAAGGCCUGGCACAGAGCAGAGCAGCAGGGCUAACUGCACCAGCACAUGCUCCUGGGCACUGUGGCUGCAGUGCUGUACGAAGGGACAAUGCUUAUGUCCCCCUUAGCCCAAGGCCACCACAUACCCCCUCCUCUGGAUGUGGGACACAGACCCUGCCCUGCUGCCCUGCCCCAGCUCCCUGGCAAGGCCCACUCCAGAACAGGGCCUGGAAAGAAAAAGUUAUGUACUGACAGAAAAAUCUCAUACUUGGAAAGGUUAUUGUAUUGCUCUGGUGGGUGGGGGAGAGUGUGAUGGAGGUGGGGCGAGGCAGGGGCCGACAAUCCUUCUCCAAACGUUGUCACUCUUGUGCAGUGAUCCUUGGAGAGCCCUUGCCGUUCUGCUGCCAGCAGGCAGGAGCCAAUUAAGGGCAAUUAGGGUGGAAGCGGAGAAGGCGCCCCUUUAGCUGCCGCCAGAGUGGCCACUGGGAGCGCUGGCAGGGCUCCACACUGUAAGGUUAUUAAAGUUCUCCCCCAUAUUGUCCUUGGAAGAGAUGCUUCGGAGCCGUCUGCUCGGAGCAGUGAGAUGAAAGGGAGACACCCUUUGAUGUGUUCGCCCGUUCACACAGUGCCUCCGUGGGGAAUCAACCCGAGCACUUCUGCAGCACCUUCCACCACUGUUAAUCACCCAGGCGGGUUACCCUGCUAUCUGAGGUUUCCUAGGCAGAGCACGAUCCCCCAGGGCACAGACGUGGCCUCUGCCUCACACGGUGAACGCUUUUCCAUGGAAUAAGAUGCAGCAGGCAAGAGCAGAGAGCUGCAGUGAGGACAGAGGAUCUGGGGCAGAGGGCUAGCCCAUCUCCACGAGGAGAGGAAGAGAGGCACAGCCAACAAGUAAGUGGCCUGACUGCUGCCACACAGGCCAUGGCAUGGUCCCAGGGCUCUUCCUGGGUGCCUGCAUGCUCCACAGCUGGAUACUGGUAAUCUCAAAGCCUCCCUCUUAUCUACAUGUACUGCCAUAGGACAUCAAACCAUAUGGAAUGACAGUGGUUGAGCUUCUAACAGCCUUGUUGCUUAUUCUGUCUCAACAUUUGCAAAAUCCCCUUCCUUGGCCAUCCCUUCCUCCCCUACAGCUCAGGCAGCUGAGGAACAGCAGAGGCAGGAGAUGGGGCAGCUCUGUGAUGUGUCAUGAAGGCAUCUACUUGGCUUGUGGGAGAGAUGGUCCUUCCAGUCCCUGCUUUAUGGGCCUGAGUACUCGGUUCCUCUGGGCACCAGUGUCCUGCCAACACAGAGAUCCCACCAUGGCACAGAGUUUCCUAAUAUGUUGCUCACUGCCCCUUUAUUCCUUUCUGCCUGUCCAUUCCACUUCUUGGACAGUCCCUCUUCCUCCCCAGGGGUCACACCUCCCCAUCCUUAUUUUUUCACACUUUGCUGCUCCCAGUGUUACUGUGCCCAUCCUGCAUUGCUCCCUGCAUUAGUCUUACUGUCAGAGGACGGCAGCGGGGGUGAGGCUGGAAGAGGAAAUAGGUGCAGCUUUUACCACUGGGCAUGGGUUGUGGUGGGAUGGGAGGAAGGUCCAUGGCAACUCACCAUUUUCACAGAACCUGUAUUUUUCCUGCAUCCAGGAGCUGCUGCUAGAUGGACUUCGGCUUUGUCGUGACAUGGAGGAGAGCAGGAAUGCUCUCAAUGCCAGGCAUCAGUUUUUCUGUUCCAGACUCCAGGCAUUAUUGGUUUGGGCCCAGUUCCCCAAAGGCCUUUGCCGACUCAGUGGCUCUACGGAGGUGACCCUUUGGGCAGGUGCAUUGCUCUGCCACCCUCCCUCUCCGGCUGGGUGGCUCCUUGCAUCUCCCAGCCAGCCACGCCUGCUGCGCAAAGCUGCCCUCUCCAGCACUACGCACAGGGCGCAGUGGGAACAACAGGCUCUGAGCAUGCUGCCUCACAGCCUCCAGAGCAAAGGUGGCCCCAGGGCACUGCCCGUGGAUUUUCCACCCACAGGUGCCACCACCCUUCCGGAAGGAAGCAGUCAGCCUUGUUUUGAGCAGCUGCCUUGCAAAUGCAUCCUCUCUAGCACGCAGCUGCCUGACCCAGGACAAAGUAACUUGUGGCCUCAAGGAGUGAAAUGCAGCAUUGAAAACUGACAGUGCUGCACACAGACAGGGCGAGUGAUGCUCUCCACCAGCUCCUGUGACAACCACCUUUUUGCUUUUCAGUCUUUGUCAGGAAUAGGAAUGAUCUCUAUAGUUUCUUUUCCUGCCUGGUGCUGCCUUUGCAUUUGCUGCAGAGCAGAAAUUCGAGGAGAUGGAUGCAGACCUUGGUCUGCUUUGUGGAAAUACUUCUAGUGUUUUCAGGUAAGGUAAAAGUCUUUCAUUAACAAAUCCUACCUGCUGAUCCCAAAGCACCUGAGAUCCUCUCAGAUUUUUUGCCAGCAUUCCUCGUACUUUUGUGUAGCUCCAAACAGGAAACAAUGCUCUUGGAAAAGCUUCAAGCAGCUCCAGAACGGGUCCCUGGAAACUUGGUGAGGUAGUUACAAUGCAGAGCUCAGAAGUACUCUUUCCACAUGUGCUACCUCUUGGAAGCCAAGGAGGGAUUCUUAGGGCCAGGAAGAGAGAGUGUAUGCCACCAUGUGGCAGCAGAUUCCCAAGCGUGGAGCUCAGGAGAGCUUCAGGCAGGCCCAGCUCAUUGCUCAGGCUGGAGGAUGGCCUGGCCCCCACAGGCAGAACUUCAGCAAGGAGUUAUGACCUUCUGUGCACUGACAGGGAGGUGCUGUACAGGCGCCCUGUGCCAUCUCCAAAGGCCCCAGCCACCCCCUCCAUGAAGGUAAGAUUUAUUCUGCAAUUGAGCAGCCCUGGAAUUUACUAUGGAAGACAAUAUUCAUCUGAGAAUUGUGUUCCAGCACCAAAGACCCAUUAUUCACAGUGACAGCCUGAAGAGCUGAAAAUAAACAAAGAACAAAGUCAAAUCAAGUAGCUUUGGCCAGAAACCACCCUGCCUCAAGGCAGAAGACAACUUCUAAGCAAGAGAGACAACUUCUGAGGAAGAAGCUCUUUUGGAAGCACAUUAUCCCACUGAUGCAAAGCUUCUUGCUUUUCUCUCAGAAGCAACCAAAAACCAGCCUGCCAGAGAACUUUGGGUGAGAUGGAGGCUUAAUUUGAUCCAGGCUGUUCUUAUCUUCUACAUUUCUACAUGUAAAACAAAACAAACAAAAAACCCAACAACAACAAAAAAAAGUUUCUCAUCUUUCUGUCAAUGAAGAGAGCUCUAAAUAUUUGGAGUUAAUAUAAAAAACCACUGCAUUGUUCGUAGUCUGAAUUAUGCUGCAAUGAGGACUCUGAGCUGUCACUCAUAUCAACAGUCUCUUAACUCUAAACUCAGCAAUGGCCACUCGAGCCUUAGGUUCCCUCACUAUUGCGUGUUGCCUGAGUGUGUGUUUGUCCUCUAGGCUCUGUGCUGUCCCCCCAGACAGCAAAAUGCCUAUUUCUGCCUCCUCAACAGUGUUGUGCUGGAACUGCUACACUGUGUUCUAUAAAUACGGCACUGUCAGCCUAAAACGCAUUUGAGUAGAGAGAGGAGUAGCAUGGGGACAGCUGCCUAGCUGGGUUACUUGGAUAUUUCAUUCUCUUAAGUGCUACACUGUAGUUUGAAGGUGCAAAUGAAGCUAUUGACAAGUCUGAGGUCUUUUGCCCUAGAGAUCCAGGUAGUCCAAAGAGCACUGUUCCCAAAAAAACUUGGAGUAAACUUGUCUUGAGCAUCUGGAUCCAUGCAAGCUACUGCUAUAUGAAGUUUUAGCUGAAUUUGGUUGCUGCACCCUGAUCACCCCAGGUGUUUUCCAAAUUCUCCAAUUCUUUGCUUUUCAGAGGAAAUGAGUCUAAGAGGCUAGACUGUGCUGGCAGACCUCCAAGGCCAUGUGCUGGUUUGCCCUGGUGGAGAUUCCAACCUGUUGUUGCUGUCUGGGAAAACCACAUCCGUGUGUCCUUGAGAAGAGCACAUAAGGACCAGAGUGUGGACUGGGGAAAAGUGGACCAGAUCUACCCCUUCUGCUUCCCUCUGUGCUUGUGCAGGGUAGAGCAAAGCAUCAGCUCAGGAGGCAGGGUAAGCCUGUGGAAACCAGAUGCAGCAUGGAGGAGGAGGAGGAAAGACACGGAGUAGUCAGGAUCAGGAUGGGAAUAUGGGACUCCAACGUGCAAAGGUCAUCCAGUUGGGCUCAUGCUCCAACUCACACUGGCUGGAGAAACAGGUCUUCAUAUACAGCAGCAAACACUCAAAAUAAAUCAAAAAGCAUUUAAAAAUAUUGUCCUGCCUGGCUGCUCCAGACGAGUUUUGUAGUGAAUCUGGAGGUGCCUUUUUCCUGGAGUGCUGUGCUCCCAUUAUGCUGCCCACGAGCUGCAUGGGAUCAGGGCUUGGCAACAUGGGUCACCAGGGACAGUCACCUUAAUCAGCUUAAACCACAGCUUGACUAAAGCCUCCAGCUGUGCUGCCCAUCCCAAGGGAAGGUCUCUGAAACAGAGAGUGACUGCCCUGAAAAUUCCUCCUGUGGUCACUUUUGUAAAGUCCUGCUCAGUGCAGAGAGGGACGGAGAAAGUAGUUAGUGGCAUUCUGUCUCUAAAAAGCAGAGUGUUUCAGCUGUGAUUCAUUUUGUCUGGGGAUUUGGCCUGUUCUGCUAGUUUGUGGGAGGCCAAUUCAGCAGAAUUGGUAACCAGUUGUUUGCUGAUGCCGCCUUUGGGAUGAAAGGUUGUCACCUUCCACCUGGGCGAUGUGGGGGAUACUAUUGCCCCAGACGUGGGGGAUACUAUUGCCAACAGACCGGGUCACAACAUCAUUUCCUUCAUAAUGUCCUUGGAGAUGUGCAGAGACGGGCCUCUUGUGUCUGUGGGGCUAGUCUGGCAUAUUUUUUCUUUCUUUCUUUGAAAGAGCAAUAAACACCUUUGGACCACCCCA
Molecule: long non-coding RNA, 8595 nt
Organism: Corvus hawaiiensis (hawaiian crow)
Lineage: Eukaryota; Metazoa; Chordata; Aves; Passeriformes; Corvidae
Exons: 5
Source: RefSeq, a predicted model, not a curated record